This is a long non-coding RNA of Melitaea cinxia (Glanville fritillary), 412 nucleotides long. RefSeq lists it as uncharacterized. The record is from RefSeq and is a predicted model, not a curated record. NCBI's taxonomy places the organism in Eukaryota, Metazoa, Arthropoda, Insecta, Lepidoptera, Nymphalidae. The transcript has 2 exons.
AUAUAAGCCUCAGGGCGAGGGUGUGCGGUCUCUUUGUUGGAUUCUCUCGCCGACUUAAGAUCUGGGUGCAGUUUAUUGUGGGCUCCUUGGUGUGGCGUUUGCGGCGGCGCUUGUGGAUGGAGAGUGACCUCGUGGCGUCCUUCUGAAGGUCCGAGGACCCCACAUUCCGAGUUCUCUCACAACCCGAAUCACCCACAACCCGAAUUACCCACAACCCGAAUUCUCUUCAACCCGGCUUACAUUAAACUGCUCCUGGAAGCGGGGCAACCGACGGCGAGACGACUGUUAAGUUUUUUUUAGUUAGCCAAUUCUCGAGCCACUUGUUCAGGAAUUAGGCAAAUUAUGUACUUUAUUUAUUUUAUUCUCCCCGGAGUAACUUUAGAUUAUAUUCAAAAUAAAUUGUUAAACUUGU